Molecule: ribosomal RNA, 257 nt
Filed under: uncultured prokaryote
Description: partial 16S ribosomal RNA
Rfam family: Bacterial small subunit ribosomal RNA
Source: RNAcentral
UAACACGUAGGGGGCGAGCGUUGUCCGGAUUUAUUGGGCGUAAAGAGCUCGUAGGCGGCUCGGUAAGUCAGGUGUGAAAACUCUAGGCUCAACCUAGAGACGCCACCUGAUACUGCUGUGGCUAGAGUCCGGUAGGGGAGCAUGGAAUUCCUGGUGUAGCGGUGAAAUGCGCAGAUAUCAGGAGGAACACCAGUGGCGAAGGCGGUGCUCUGGGCCGGAACUGACGCUGAGGAGCGAAAGCGUGGGGAGCAAACAGG